UGAGUCACAUCCAGGCCACAGGUG
RNAcentral lists this unclassified non-coding RNA (24 nucleotides) under Mus musculus (house mouse). RNAcentral describes it as "oocyte_clustered_small_RNA11142". Lineage: Eukaryota; Metazoa; Chordata; Mammalia; Rodentia; Muridae. The record is from RNAcentral.